UAUUGUAGCCUCUAUCAUCAC
Molecule: non-coding RNA, 21 nt
Organism: Caenorhabditis elegans
Lineage: Eukaryota; Metazoa; Nematoda; Chromadorea; Rhabditida; Rhabditidae
Source: Ensembl